CGGUUAAGUUAGAAAGGGCGCACGGUGGAUGCCUUGGCACUAGGAGCCGAUGAAGGACGGGACGAACACCGAUAUGCUUCGGGGAGCUGUAAGCAAGCUUUGAUCCGGAGAUUUCCGAAUGGGGAAACCCACCACUCGUAAUGGAGUGGUAUCCAUAUCUGAAUACAUAGGAUAUGAGAAGGCAGACCCGGGGAACUGAAACAUCUAAGUACCCGGAGGAAGAGAAAGCAAAUGCGAUUCCCUGAGUAGCGGCGAGCGAAACGGGACCAGCCCAAACCAAGAGGCUUGCCUCUUGGGGUUGUAGGACACUCUGUACGGAGUUACAAAGGAACGAGGUAGAUGAAGAGGUCUGGAAAGGCCCGCCAUAGGAGGUAACAGCCCUGUAGUCAAAACUUCGUUCUCUCCUGAGUGGAUCCUGAGUACGGCGGAACACGUGAAAUUCCGUCGGAAUCCGGGAGGACCAUCUCCCAAGGCUAAAUACUCCCUAGUGACCGAUAGUGAACCAGUACCGUGAGGGAAAGGUGAAAAGCACCCCGGAAGGGGAGUGAAAGAGAUCCUGAAACCGUGUGCCUACAAGUAGUCAGAGCCCGUUAAUGGGUGAUGGCGUGCCUUUUGUAGAAUGAACCGGCGAGUUACGAUCCCGUGCAAGGUUAAGCAGAAGAUGCGGAGCCGCAGCGAAAGCGAGUCUGAAUAGGGCGAAUUGAGUACGUGGUCGUAGACCCGAAACCAGGUGAUCUACCCAUGUCCAGGGUGAAGUUCAGGUAACACUGAAUGGAGGCCCGAACCCACGCACGUUGAAAAGUGCGGGGAUGAGUGUGGGUAGGGGUGAAAUGCCAAUCGAACCUGGAGAUAGCUGGUUCUCUCCGAAAUAGCUUUAGGGCUAGCCUCAAGGUAAGAGUCUCGGAGGUAGAGCACUGAUUGGACUAGGGGCCCCUACCGGGUUACCGAAUUCAGUCAAACUCCGAAUGCCGAUGACUUAUCCUUGGGAGUCAGACUGCGAGUGAUAAGAUCCGUAGUCGAAAGGGAAACAGCCCAGACCGCCAGCUAAGGUCCCAAAGUAUACGUUAAGUGGAAAAGGAUGUGGAGUUGCUUAGACAACCAGGAUGUUGGCUUAGAAGCAGCCACCAUUUAAAGAGUGCGUAAUAGCUCACUGGUCGAGUGACUCUGCGCCGAAAAUGUACCGGGGCUAAACGUAUCACCGAAGCUGCGGACUGUUCUUCGAACAGUGGUAGGAGAGCGUUCUAAGGGCUGUGAAGCAAGACCGGAAGGACUUGUGGAGCGCUUAGAAGUGAGAAUGCCGGUAUGAGUAGCGAAAGAGGGGUGAGAAUCCCCUCCACCGAAUGCCUAAGGUUUCCUGAGAAGGCUCGUCCGCUCAGGGUUAGUCGGGACCUAAGCCGAGGCCGAAAGGCGUAGGCGAUGGAUAACAGGUGAUAUUCCUGUACCACCUCCUCACCAUUUGAGCAAUGGGGGGACGCAGGAGGAUAGGGUAAGCGCGGUAUUGGAUAUCCGCGUCCAAGCAUUAGGCUGGGAAUAGGCAAAUCGUUUCCCGUGAAGGCUGAGCUGUGAUGGCGAGCGAAUUAUAGUAGCGAAGUUCCUGAUUCCACACUGCCAAGAAAAGCCUCUAGCGAGGUGAGAGGUGCCCGUACCGCAAACCGACACAGGUAGGCGAGGAGAGAAUCCUAAGGUGAUCGAGAGAACUCUCGUUAAGGAACUCGGCAAAAUGACCCCGUAACUUCGGGAGAAGGGGUGCUCUGUUAGGGUGCAAGCCCGAGAGAGCCGCAGUGAAUAGGCCCAGGCGACUGUUUAGCAAAAACACAGGUCUCUGCGAAGCCGUAAGGCGAAGUAUAGGGGCUGACGCCUGCCCGGUGCUGGAAGGUUAAGAGGAGCGCUUAGCGUAAGCGAAGGUGCGAAUUGAAGCCCCAGUAAACGGCGGCCGUAACUAUAACGGUCCUAAGGUAGCGAAAUUCCUUGUCGGGUAAGUUCCGACCCGCACGAAAGGCGCAACGAUCUGGGCACUGUCUCAACGAGAGACUCGGUGAAAUUAUAGUACCUGUGAAGAUGCAGGUUACCCGCGACAGGACGAAAAGACCCCGUGGAGCUUUACUGCAGCCUGAUAUUGAAUGUUGGUACAGCUUGUACAGGAUAGGUAGGAGCCUUGGAAACCGGAGCGCCAGCUUCGGUGGAGGCAUCGGUGGGAUACUACCCUGGCUGUAUUGACCUUCUAACCCGCCGCCCUUAUCGGGCGGGGAGACAGUGUCAGGUGGGCAGUUUGACUGGGGCGGUCGCCUCCUAAAAGGUAACGGAGGCGCCCAAAGGUUCCCUCAGAAUGGUUGGAAAUCAUUCGCAGAGUGUAAAGGCACAAGGGAGCUUGACUGCGAGACCUACAAGUCGAGCAGGGACGAAAGUCGGGCUUAGUGAUCCGGUGGUUCCGCAUGGAAGGGCCAUCGCUCAACGGAUAAAAGCUACCCCGGGGAUAACAGGCUUAUCUCCCCCAAGAGUCCACAUCGACGGGGAGGUUUGGCACCUCGAUGUCGGCUCAUCGCAUCCUGGGGCUGUAGUCGGUCCCAAGGGUUGGGCUGUUCGCCCAUUAAAGCGGUACGCGAGCUGGGUUCAGAACGUCGUGAGACAGUUCGGUCCCUAUCCGUCGCGGGCGCAGGAAAUUUGAGAGGAGCUGUCCUUAGUACGAGAGGACCGGGAUGGACGCACCGCUGGUGUACCAGUUGUUCUGCCAAGGGCAUCGCUGGGUAGCUAUGUGCGGACGGGAUAAGUGCUGAAAGCAUCUAAGCAUGAAGCCCCCCUCAAGAUGAGAUUUCCCAUUCCGCAAGGAAGUAAGAUCCCUGAAAGAUGAUCAGGUUGAUAGGUCUGAGGUGGAAGUGUGGCGACACAUGGAGCUGACAGAUACUAAUCGAUCGAGGACUUAACCAAUUU
This 2928-nucleotide ribosomal RNA is filed under the name Bacillus velezensis. RNAcentral's name for it is "23S ribosomal RNA". It matches the Rfam family "Bacterial large subunit ribosomal RNA". The record is from RNAcentral. Lineage: Bacteria; Bacillati; Bacillota; Bacilli; Caryophanales; Bacillaceae.